GCGGGAAUCGAACCCAUAACCUUCUGCUUACGGGGCAGGUGCCAUGUCCACUAGGCU
This 57-nucleotide transfer RNA is filed under the name Cordylochernes scorpioides. RNAcentral's name for it is "tRNA-Thr". Lineage: Eukaryota; Metazoa; Arthropoda; Arachnida; Pseudoscorpiones; Chernetidae. The record is from RNAcentral.